This is a long non-coding RNA of Paramormyrops kingsleyae, 4668 nucleotides long. RefSeq lists it as uncharacterized. NCBI's taxonomy places the organism in Eukaryota, Metazoa, Chordata, Actinopteri, Osteoglossiformes, Mormyridae. The record is from RefSeq and is a predicted model, not a curated record.
AAAUCCCGCGUGGCCUAGCAUCGUUAGCUGGUGAUGCUAACGCGCCAUUCUGGCUCUGAAAUAGCGACGAUCUGUCUGGAACUGAUGUCUUGAACCAAAUCCACAGUCAGUCCACUGCUGAUCUUUCAGUAUGGUAUUGGCUGUCGUAGAGCCUUUCUGCAUGGCAUAAUGUCAAGGCUGGAGGAAAGCUGUCACCCAGAGGAAAACACGAGAGGAAAAUGACCGGCAGCCCUGAUUAUAUGUGAUCCAUGGCCUCGGAGGUGACUUCUCUGGGGAUGAAAGUCAACCAGUGGCUUCAGGUUAAGAACAGGCUAUCUGUCAGUGUUCACAUGAGGGCAGCACAGAUGGUGGGGGGCCGGGGUGUCGGAUGGGAAGGGCGCCGUCGGCCCCGUGGAAGAGGCGGCACCAGAGGGCUGUUAUCCAGGCAGUGACUGUGUCUGAGUUGUAGUCUGUCAUGUGAUCAAUGGCUAGUUUUCUAGAACGAACCCCCACCCCCCCACCUUGACUGUAGUGUCUAGCUUGUCGGACUUACCUGCCAGACCCCUGUGAUCAAUGGCUGCGGCAUACUGGCCGCUUUGUAAAUCUGUCCAGGAGUGAGGCCUACGUGUGCUCAGAUACUCUCCAUCUCCCUGGAAGUUUCCGUGACAACCCGGAUGCUCCUCCAUCUCUCACUCCAUCGAUCCAUGCGGGGGCUUCUGCUCCCACCUUGACCCCUCUCUCCAUGUCUCCCCGUGCUGGUAUCGCAGUAUCUCUCUCUUUAUAAAACUCCCAGCCUGCAAACAUGUGGGCAGAGACGGAAAAGGAGGACAGCUGACAGAUGAGGGCGUGUCAGCACGAUCACCUCACUGGAGCCACGGUGUGUCAGAGCCAUACCAUACCGUUCAGGUCAGUCUUUAAAAAAAAAGGUCGAUAGAAAGCAAGAUGACGGGCAGCCCUCAAGCACACGCAUGCUGAUUGGACGUGGAAGCCUUGCUGAGUGUCAGCUGCUGCCAGCAUCUGUCCUGAAGGCUCUAGCGAGCUCAAUUGGAGUGUGAAAUACCUGAGAGCAUCAUUCCAGCGCAGCACCAAGAAGCGCAGUGUCCGCUGACAGCCCACAUUCUGGACCAUUCUUUAUGUUUACUCUUCUCGGUGGCGAAGGACAGACAGCUGACGUGCCGGAAGGCAAAUCGGCAGCCCCUGGUUGUCAGGCUCCAGACUGUAAGCGCCGACAGGUAGACGGGCAACCCAAGCAGAUGGUUCAGGAGACGCUGGCAAACGAUGGCUGCCUAGGGAGCCCCAUGAUAUGGACGCCUUCCGAGAGCAGCGAUCCACCUGAUGAUGCUUUCGCAUUCUCAUUUUUAUGGCCACUCUGGAAUCUGUCCUUCAAGUGCAAAUGUCCACAGCCCCUUUGGAAGUUAUUGCUGGGGCACGGUGUUGCCUUAGCAACCUGCCUCAUGUCACAGCACACACACACGAACGGUGUCACCAUGGUGUAUCUGCAUAAUUCUGCCCCCUUCUACAGCAUCCACACCUUGUGCAUGUGACCCUCACGGUCUGUGUGCAUCAGCUGAUCUGUUCUGACACUACAUGCUGGCAUCAUGACAGAGAACAGGCUGCUACAAUAGAAAGAACUGAAACAUAGAAAAGACUUUUAAAACCUGCCACACAUAUCUCAUAUGUACACACUCACACAACUAAGCUACUGUAACACAUCACAUUUGUUAGUAAACAACCAAGUAGAUGUCUGAAACUGAAGGUAACUUCUGGAUUUAUAUUUUCUUGAGGUUUAAACCUUAAGAAUAGAGUGGUAUCCCACAGUGAAGUUGCUUCACUAGUUGAUGCGGCUAAUCUUGGUAUUAUGAUACAGUUGGACAAGUGAAUUCUGGAAGCUUCUCCGAAAGUGGGCUUCAGUCACACCCCUAGGACUUCAGUCGGACCUCAGGGCUGGAUGAAAGCAAGUCGUCCAUCACACAGGGCUGUUUACAGUAGAUACCAGCGAGAUAUAUUUCUAACGGGGGAGCAGGGACUGUUUAUUUGGAGAGAUGGGGGUGGGAGUGGCACAGUGACAGCAAUGAACCGAGGUGUGUUUGUUAUUCUGUGCAGAGGUGAGGCAGCUUUGCCACUCAUCCUGAGGGUUCACGUGUGCUGCGGGAGUGUGUCACACGGGUGACUCCGUUCUGACCAUGUGCUCAAAGUACUGUAAUCGGCAGUAUUCUCUGUAUUCCUCUGUUAUGUCGAGCAGAUGAAUAGCUGAUCUUUCGUUAUGUUCCAUCAUAACCACAUUCUUUGUGUGUUUUUCUAACUAUAGUGUGUAAUUAUAGACCGCCCCCCCCCCCAUUGUUGAUACGUAAGUGUGGUUCCAGUUACUUGGUUAAAAUGAAAACACCACUAGAGGAACCAUAGGAAUGUGAAACGUUGGGUAACAGAAGUAAUAAUAACAGUAGUUAAUAAAAGACGAGCCGCUGCUCUUUGUUCCGUAUUUUGGCUCCCCUGAGGCUGCUCAUCAUCAGGACCGGAUCCAGACACAGGUGAACUCGACAGCUGCCAUGGGCCCGAUAGGACGUCAUGAUUAAAUAUAUAUAUAUAUAUAUUUGUGUGUGUGUGUUACAUAUCCAUACAUAUGCUAUAUGAAUAAGAAUAUGCACUCACAGGGAGUGUGGUCAUGGACAUACAGCUGAUUUGUUGUGCAGCACUUGCUCCAGUAGGGUGCACCAAAGAGUAAAUGAGAUGUCCACUCUAAAUUCAAAUUAAAAAAAUGUCCCUUGAUCCAGGCCAUUCAGGUCUCUUCAUCAACGUCUUCUUCUUAUUGUUAUUAUUACUUGUUGUUACAGCUACUGAGGUAUACAAAUUGAUUGGCAAAGACUUUCCGUACGCUGCGUACCAGCAGUUUAAGUCUAAAUAUGUGGCAGUAUCAGAUGAAGCCACCCUGGGCGUCUGAAUGCGGGGGUACGUUUCGGCAGAGAGGCGCGGCGGUAGCUGGACACUGUCCUGACUCGGUGUGGUUUUGCACAGAAAUCCCUCUGCCUUCCUUCCUUGCCAUAUGCCGUAGGGCAGAGCUUUUUCAAAAAGUCACUCUCUCCCGUAGAUUUCGAACGCGCCAUGAGCCAAUAACGGCGGGAACAGGGUCUCCACACAGGCUCAUUGACUUCUCCCUGUGAAGCCAGUGCUGAAGGCCCUGAAUCCGUCUGAGCUGUUUGUGAUGCCAAGGUCUCGUCUGAUUGGUUCUGCUCAGCACAACGCCUUUCUGCAUGAACUACACAUAUCAUAUCCACAUUGUGCGCCCUCUGUAGACACCCCGCCCUCCUCGAUUUAUCUCCUGUCGGUGCAAACUAGCUUGGUAUUUGCCUGUUAUUUCAAGACAUACUUCCACAGUGGUACAUCUGCAAAAAGGGAGUUAAUGGGAAAUCUUCAGUAAUAAUGCUGCUAAUUCACACUAACGGAACUAUGAAUUAGGAAAGAUUGUUUCAAGGCGUGUUGCUGAGAAUCAUUCUGGCAGGUGGGUGCUUGUAACUGAGCAGGAAAGGGACAGCUGUGUCGCACCUCUCCAUCCGACGCUAGCUGAGAACUGGCCAUAAAAAAAAGAGGGCUGAGCAUGUUUGUAAAGAGUGCCCUCUGCUGCUUAAUAUGAGCAUGACACCACUUAGUUAGUUUGUGAGCAGUGGGUAUAUGGUUAAUUCUCCAGCCAUAAUGGAAUCCAUAUUUUUAAAAAUAUAUAUUUAUACAGGAUGAAUGAUAUCUAACACCAGUACAUAUCACUGUACUAUACAUGCAUUGUAUGGUCCAUUAUGCUUGUAAGUAACUCAUAUCUUAGGAAGGGGACUGCUUCUAAAGCUUUGCGCAGUAGGUAAUUUGUAACCUUCAGUAAGAUAUCCACCUGAAAUACUCCUCCCACCUGGGAGGAGCACAUAAGAUGGCAUCAGGACAUACAGUCUGUCAUGGGGGGUGCAGUGGGGGUGGUAGUUUCAGGAGCAUGAAUCAGGUGAUAGGGUGUGCUUACACUUAAUUCUCUCUCUUACCACAGUAAAUAAAUGUAUCCUGAAUGUCCUUUCCCACACUACACCCAAACUGGAUUUCUCUCUGUGAUCCCAUGUCCCCCUUCUCUUUGUGACCUUGUGUCUCCAUGUCCCGUCCCUUUGUGACCGUGUCCCUAUUUCCUGUCUCAUUUUGACUGUGACCCCAUGCCCCCAUCUUUGUGACAGCAUGUCCCCAGUCACUGUGAUCCUGAGCCCUCCAUCUCUGUGACCCUGUGUCGCCAUGUCGCGUCUCAUAUUGACUGUGACCCCAUGUCCCCAUCUUUGUGACACCAUGUCCCCGUCUCUGUGACCCUCUAUCUCCAUGUCCCCUUAUCUGUUUAUGACUUUUUUUUUCUUACUCUGGGACACUGUAUCCCCUCUCUCUUUGUGACCCUGCGUCCCUGUGUCCUCCUUCACUUUGUGACCCUGCGUCUCUGUGUCCUCCUUCACUUUGUGACCCUGCGUCCCUGUAUCCCCUCUCUCUUUGUGACCCUGCGUCCCUGUGUCCUCCUUCACUUUGUGACCACAUGAUCCCAGUCUCUUCGUGUCCCUAUGUCCCUGUCUUUGUGUCCUCAUCUCCCCAGUCUCCAUGUGACCUGAUAUCCCCCAUCCCAUUGUGAUGCCAUGUCCUCUGUCUCUUUGUGACCCAGUGUCCCCUGACUUGUCCUAUUUGCCC